This 678-nucleotide ribosomal RNA is filed under the name Salmonella enterica. Its description in RNAcentral is "partial 23S ribosomal RNA". It matches the Rfam family "Bacterial large subunit ribosomal RNA", at positions 161 to 878 of the family's 2925-position model. RNAcentral also lists the same sequence under 1 other name. The record is from RNAcentral. Lineage: Bacteria; Pseudomonadati; Pseudomonadota; Gammaproteobacteria; Enterobacterales; Enterobacteriaceae.
AAUCCAUAGGUUAAUGAGGCGAACCGGGGGAACUGAAACAUCUAAGUACCCCGAGGAAAAGAAAUCAACCGAGAUUCCCCCAGUAGCGGCGAGCGAACGGGGAGGAGCCCAGAGCCUGAAUCAGCAUGUGUGUUAGUGGAAGCGUCUGGAAAGGCGCGCGAUACAGGGUGACAGCCCCGUACACAAAAGCGCAUGUGCUGUGAGCUCGAUGAGUAGGGCGGGACACGUGGUAUCCUGUCUGAAUAUGGGGGGACCAUCCUCCAAGGCUAAAUACUCCUGACUGACCGAUAGUGAACCAGUACCGUGAGGGAAAGGCGAAAAGAACCCCGGCGAGGGGAGUGAAAAAGAACCUGAAACCGUGUACGUACAAGCAGUGGGAGCACAGGUUUACCUGUGUGACUGCGUACCUUUUGUAUAAUGGGUCAGCGACUUAUAUUCUGUAGCAAGGUUAACCGAAUAGGGGAGCCGGAGGGAAACCGAGUCUUAAUUGGGCGUUAAGUUGCAGGGUAUAGACCCGAAACCCGGUGAUCUAGCCAUGGGCAGGUUGAAGGUUGGGUAACACUAACUGGAGGACCGAACCGACUAAUGUUGAAAAAUUAGCGGAUGACCUGUGGCUGGGGGUGAAAGGCCAAUCAAACCGGGAGAUAGCUGGUUCUCCCCGAAAGCUAUUUAGGUAGC